AGCUUUGCUCUGUGUAUAUAGAAUGAAACUGAAUAUUAUCAAGAAAAACCUGCAAGAACAAUGUGUACAUCAAUUUCUAGUCACUUAAUCCAAACAUUUUUCCAUGAUAAAAUAUGACUAUACAAACCUUACAGCACCAAUGAGAGAGAAUCAGACAAACAAUGAAUUCAAACCUGGGUUUUGGUUUUGUCUCCACCACAUCUAUCAUUCAACCAGCUAACAAUAUCUUUACGAACAAUCUCAAUGUUGUCGUCGGGUUCACCGAACAACAUCGAAUGCAUCAUCCCGUCAUAGAUCUUCAAUGUCUUAUCUUUGCUCUUAGCAUGUUCGUACAACUCUCUGCUCACUUCAGGAUCAGUCACAGCAUCUGCACUUCCGUGCACAAUAAUGAAGGGAAUGCUAACAUCUUUUAGCUUCUUCCCUAAGUAAUCAGUAACCCUAAGUAGCUCCAUCACUGUACCUAACCGCGGUUUCUCAUUGUACCUCAUCGGAUUCCUCUUGGCAAUCGGUUUCUUCUCUUCAACUUUGAUCGACUUCUCCAACAGAUCUUCCGUCGGAACAAUCGCCCAAGUCGGCAAGAAUCUUGAGAUCAUAAUCAGAAACUGAUCAACCGGCCAUUUAGGUCUCACCUUGUCCGAGAUUUUACACAUGGGAGCAACCAAAACCGCUCCAUCAAACCCUAACGGAUCAGCGAAUUGGAUCAAAAGACAAAUCGCACCGCCCAUUGAUUCUCCGAAGAGAAACCGAGGUAAGCCUUGAAAUUUAGGGUUUUGCUUAAUCGAAUUAAAGAAAGAGAUGAUGUCAUCGACGACUAGAUCUACGGAGGGAACAUAGGCGCGGACACCGUCAGAUCGGCCAUGACCUUCGAUGUCGAGAGCAAAGCAAGCGAAACCCAUCUGAGCAAGAAAAAUGGGAGUGGACUGGAAAGUCCAGCUGACGUCAUUGCCGUAGCCAUGGACCAUGAAGAUGAGACCACGUGGCGGAGAAGAGGAAGAGGGAAGCCAUGAACGAGUGAAGAGGUUGAGACCUCGAGGGGAAGUGAAGAAAGAUUUGGAGCCGAUGAUGCCUUUGAGAUUAAAGUAAUCUUCUUCUGAAGUCUCUCCCCAGAAGUUGAUCUCUGUUUCAAGCUGUUGAUCAGACAUCGAGGAGUGGUUUUUUUUUUUCUGAGAUGUUGUAUUGUUGUGUUCUGUUGGUUUUGAUGAAAAUGUUUGUGGCGUACUGGCGUUACUCACUGUGCUGCUUU
Arabidopsis thaliana (thale cress) is the source of this 1243-nucleotide long non-coding RNA. RefSeq annotates it as other RNA. Lineage: Eukaryota; Viridiplantae; Streptophyta; Magnoliopsida; Brassicales; Brassicaceae. The transcript has a single exon. The record is from RefSeq.